GGUGCUAUAGUGUAGUGGUUAUCACUCGGGAUUUUGAUUUGCAGCUCAAUUUCCCGAAACCCAGGUUCGAACCCUGGUAGCACCU
Cerrena zonata is the source of this 85-nucleotide non-coding RNA. The record is from the annotation of a GenBank genome assembly. Lineage: Eukaryota; Fungi; Basidiomycota; Agaricomycetes; Polyporales; Cerrenaceae.